RNAcentral lists this ribosomal RNA (510 nucleotides) under uncultured bacterium. RNAcentral describes it as "partial 16S ribosomal RNA". It matches the Rfam family "Bacterial small subunit ribosomal RNA", at positions 29 to 507 of the family's 1533-position model. The record is from RNAcentral.
ACAAACGCUGGCGGCAUGCCUAACACAUGCAAGUCGAACGGACAGAACAGGGAAGCUUUUCGGAGUGGAACUGGAAAGUUAGUGGCGGAUGGGUGAGUAACGCGUGGACAACCUACCUUGUAAAGGGGAAUAACCUCGAGAAAUCGAAGCUAAUACCCCAUAAUAACCUUGCUUCGCAUGAAGUAAGGAGGAACGGCGGCCUUAGCGCUGUCGAUACAAGAUGGGUCCGCGUCUGAUUAGCUAGUUGGUGAGGUAAAGGCUCACCAAGGCGACGAUCAGUAGCCGGCCUGAGAGGGUGAACGGCCACAUUGGGACUGAGACACGGCCCAAACUCCUACGGGAGGCAGCAGUGGGGAAUCUUCCGCAAAGGGCGAAAGCCUGACGGAGCAAUGCCGCGUGAGUGAAGAAGGCCUUCGGGUUGUAAAACUCUGUCCUUAUCGAAGAGAGAGUGUUGUAGUAACUGACAAUACUAGGACGGUAGAUGAGGAGGAAGCCCCGGCUAACUAUGUG